GCAGAACCAGAUGACAGGUCAUCGCUCUUCACAGUUACAUUAUAGGGGAAAAACAUGCCGUGGCCUCUGCAAGUAGUCGCUCGCAACAGCUGGUCUCUUUUCAGAGGCAGUCACUAAGUCCUGGCCACUGAAGGGGAGGUCCUGAAUCAACUGCUGAGCCUUGGUUGAAAACCCAGAGAGGAGUAUCCAGGGUGCUCGCUGCAUGGCAGUGACAGAUGCCACAGUGUCAGAAGUGGAGUCUGUAGCAUCAUAAACUUCCUUGAAAGCCAAUCUUGUGGCAGCAAUGCCCUCAUCCAGGAUUGCCCAGAACUCCUUAUAGGAGCCCUCCGGAAAGGCACCCUUGAACUUGGCAGCCGAACGCCACAUACUAAAAUCAUCCCACCCCAGGAGAGCUUGGUGUUUGCUGCACUCAGCUGUAGGCUAGAUGAAGAAUAAAU
Molecule: non-coding RNA, 437 nt
Organism: Pelodiscus sinensis (Chinese soft-shelled turtle)
Lineage: Eukaryota; Metazoa; Chordata; Testudines; Trionychidae
Source: RefSeq, a predicted model, not a curated record